This 146-nucleotide non-coding RNA is filed under the name Salinisphaera shabanensis. RNAcentral describes it as "FMN sequence". It matches the Rfam family "FMN riboswitch aptamer (RFN element)". From Rfam's summary of the family: The RFN element is a highly conserved domain that is found frequently in the 5'-untranslated regions of prokaryotic mRNAs that encode for flavin mononucleotide (FMN) biosynthesis and transport proteins. This element is a metabolite-dependent riboswitch that directly binds FMN in the absence of proteins. The record is from RNAcentral. RNAcentral also lists the same sequence under 1 other name. Lineage: Bacteria; Pseudomonadati; Pseudomonadota; Gammaproteobacteria; Salinisphaerales; Salinisphaeraceae.
CACCGUCUUCAGGGCGGGGUGUAAUUCCCCACCGGCGGUAUGUCGUACUCGACGAGCCCGCGAGCGCCUCGAUUCAUCGUCGAGGGUCAGCAGAUCUGGUGCGAUGCCAGAGCCGACGGUUAGAGUCCGGAUGAAAGAAGACGCAC